Molecule: non-coding RNA, 125 nt
Organism: Hordeum vulgare subsp. vulgare (domesticated barley)
Lineage: Eukaryota; Viridiplantae; Streptophyta; Magnoliopsida; Poales; Poaceae
Source: Rfam
UAUCUACUCCCUCCAUCCGGCAUUACUUGUCGCACAAAUGAAUAAAAAAGGAUGCAUCUAGAACUAAAAUACAUCUAGAUACAUCCAUUCUUGUGACAAGUAUUUCCGGACGGAGGGAGUAUUAU